Molecule: ribosomal RNA, 301 nt
Filed under: uncultured bacterium
Lineage: Bacteria
Description: partial 16S ribosomal RNA
Rfam family: Bacterial small subunit ribosomal RNA
Source: RNAcentral
CAGCAGCCGCGGUAAUCCGGAGGGUGCAAGCGUUAAUCGGAAUUACUGGGCGUAAAGCGUGCGUAGGCGGUUCGUUAAGUCUGUUGUGAAAGCCCCGGGCUCAACCUGGGAAUGGCAAUGGAUACUGGCGAGCUAGAGUGUGUCAGAGGAUGGUGGAAUUCCCGGUGUAGCGGUGAAAUGCGUAGAGAUCGGGAGGAACAUCAGUGGCGAAGGCGGCCAUCUGGGACAACACUGACGCUGAGGCACGAAAGCGUGGGGAGCAAACAGGAUUAGAUACCCCGGUAGUCCCUGUCUCUUAUAC